This is a non-coding RNA of Pelobates cultripes (western spadefoot toad), 404 nucleotides long. The record is from the annotation of a GenBank genome assembly. Lineage: Eukaryota; Metazoa; Chordata; Amphibia; Anura; Pelobatidae.
AGUCUGCCUGAAUACCACAGUCCUGGAGGCAGAGAAGAGGCCAAUACCCUCGGUAAUAGAAAGCUUCCCUGGGUGACUGAGCCAAUUGUACCUGUACACCCAGUGCCUAUCAAGGGUGAGUGAUUGCGUAGUGAUAAUAUAUACUUACCAGCAAGCGCUCCACUCACUUACUGAUGUUGGAAUCGUUAUCAGGUCACACAGUAUAAGAUAUUUUUUGCACAGUUCUGGUGUGGUGUAAAGAAUGAACCAAUCCAAGUGUUGUAGCAGCUUAUUCUAUGCAUCUUUCUAUUAUUCAUUAUUUGUUCGUAAAAGCCUCUUUUAUCACAGAUAGGUUCUAUAACAUGGGCAUACUGUAAUGAAUAACCCUGUGAAUAUUCAAAUUCACUCAAAAAAGCCAAGUUGUG